GAUGAACGCUGGCGGCGUGCUUAACACAUGCAAGUCGAACGGAAAGGCCUCUUUCGGGGGGUACUCGAGUGGCGAACGGGUGAGUAACACGUGAGUAACUUGCCCUUGACUUUGGGUUAACUUCAGGAAACUGGGGCUAAUACCGGAUAGGAGCUCCUGCUGCAUGGUGGGGGCUGGAAAGUUUCGGCGGUUGGGGAUGGGUUCGUGGCUUAUCAGCUUGUCGGUGGGGUAGUGGCUUACCAAGGCCUUGGCGGGUAGCCGGCCUGAGAGGGUGACAGGCGGCAUUGAGACUGAGGGGCGGCACAGGCUGCUACGGGUGGCAGAUGUGGGAAAGACUGAACGAUGGAUGGCGGCCUGGUGAAGAAGCGCCGUGUACGGUAUGACGGCCUUCGGGUUGUAGAACGCUUUCGCUCAUGACGAAGCUUUGUGUGACGGUAGUGGGUAAAGAAGCACCGGCUAACUACGUG
RNAcentral lists this ribosomal RNA (467 nucleotides) under uncultured bacterium. Its description in RNAcentral is "partial 16S ribosomal RNA". It matches the Rfam family "Bacterial small subunit ribosomal RNA", at positions 28 to 507 of the family's 1533-position model. The record is from RNAcentral.